Scylla paramamosain (green mud crab) is the source of this 8359-nucleotide RNA transcript. RefSeq lists it as uncharacterized. NCBI's taxonomy places the organism in Eukaryota, Metazoa, Arthropoda, Malacostraca, Decapoda, Portunidae. The transcript is spliced from 10 exons. The record is from RefSeq and is a predicted model, not a curated record.
UAUAAUAGUGCUAAGCUCGCAGCCCCACAUUCUUGUUCAUAUUGUCCGUCAUUCAUUUUUUUUUUCUUUAUAGUGAAAUACCGUCAACCUGAAUAAUGAAAAUAUAAUGGAGUGUCCGCCAAUAACAUGAACUUGCAACUUUUAACGGAAGCCGCUGCCAACCAGAAGCAUAAUCCAUCUUUGAUAGCCCACUAGGUUAUACUACUCGCUCCCAACACUUCCUGAAGUGUCAGUUAACUUAUCACUGAUGCACCGUUUUACAGUCGCAAAAAUACAACACAAUCAUGAAUCUAUAGUGAAGAAUGCACCAUGGCGUCUGCACCGAAAGACUGGUUCUUCAAGGAGUACAGGGACAUCUUCGAGAAAACUGGCGAGGUAGUGUUAACGUACAUCAUGAGAUGUGGGACGGACGGAAAAUCGUCCACUGUCCCCCUCGACGAGUACUUAAGGAAUCUCCCACAAGAAUCUACAGCGAACUUCAACAUAAGAAUUAUGAAAAAAAUGAAACCUUUGGAUUCAAAAGAACUACACGAGAAACGCGAUAAGCAUCUGAAAAAGCUCUUUAAUUCAACAGAAUUAGAACAAUUGGAAGAUGAUCCAUCGUGCGACAAUUGUGACAUUAGCCUUCUUUGCAAAAUAAUAAGAAACGCCUGUGAGAAGGUCUCUGAUGACGACAAACAAUGGUCAACUGAAAGCACCGAGAUGGAGUAUUUCGUAUGGAAGAUUAAAUGCAGACGUAAUAAUAUUAUUCAUAAAAAGAUUCCAAAGAUUCAUAAUGAAGAAGAUUUCAAUAAAGAAAUAGAUACACUAACAAAGCUCCUAAUGAAAACCUUGGAAGCUACGAAAACUAGAUAUGAGAGGGAUGAAGACGAGUUUGCAAGUAAGAAGGGGGAGGUGCUGGAAGCUAUUAGUGAUACCAGAAAGGAAAUACAGCAAAGAACAGCAAACAUAGAACUGCCACAUUUCAAGGAGGAAGCUAAAAAUGAGCUUCAAAACCAUCUCAAUCUUGCUAAAUACCUUGACCCACUCCAUUUUCUGAGUGGACACGAAAACAACAUAGUUGACGUUCAAACUUUAUUUUCAAAAACUGAUAUGGUUAAAGAAGAUAAUAACCAUAUUGAAUAUCUUGAGAUUUUAAAGGUUAUAAAAGUAAAGACAACGCUCUCACAUCCUGGGGUAAAGCAUCCACAAAUCCUGCUGAUUGAAGGUGACGCUGGGAGUGGCAAGACCACCUUAAUUACCUUCCUUGUGUCUGAGUGGCUCAAAGAUGAAUGUGAUCGCCGAAUGGAGGGACUUGAUCACUAUGAUCUUCUCUUGCGGGUCGUAUGCCGAGAAGAGAAUAUAUCCACGCUUGAUGAGCUGCUGAAGCAAGUCUUACCUCGGUUUUACAUUAAAUACGGAAGCUACCUUGUACCACUCUUAAAAACGUGCAAAGUCAUGUUCCUUGUCGAUGGUUUAGAUGAAAUGAAUGACGUCUCAGACAAACUCGUGAAAAACAUAUUAAGUGAGGGAAAAGAAUGUGGUAACUUUACUUUUGUGUGUACAUCACGGCCUGACAGAGUUCUGGACUUCAAGCGCAAAAUACCUGGUAACUACCAGAUUUUCGAAGUGAGACUAGUUGGCAUUUCCCAAGAAGAGAGGACUCAUCUUGUUGUAAAACAUUACGAGUGGCUAACCGAAAAUGUAUCCGAUGAUACCGACCAUCCCAAAAACUCUGACAAAUGCAUUUCCCACCUGAAGGAUGUUAUGAAAAAAAUUGGUUGGAUGGAACUUUUCCGGCUCCCUCUUAACUUACUUUUUCUAGCUGUUGUUUUUCACUACAAGCCAACAUCUAUUACAGAUAAUCUAACUCAGUCUCAGCUAUACAGUUUAAUUCACGUAUGGUGUACACAGAAGUUGCUAAGUCGACUACACCGUACAUUGCCUGAAAGCAAAUGCAUCCAGAAGAAAGUAGAUACUGUGCUAAAGGUGGUUUAUGAAGUAGCACUAAAAGGACUCCUUGAGAAUCGGAUUUAUCUAACAGGAAAUGAUGAAGAUCUAUUGAGUUCAUGCUGCACUAGCCAAGGUUUACCUAGAAAUGAGGUGAUGCCUGCGUUUUAUUCAAUGAGGCGAAAGGUGGUUUAUAUGGUGCCUAAGGAAGAAUACUUUUUCCCACACAAAGGUUUCCAGGACUUUUUCGCAGCGCAACACAUCAUUGAACAACUAGAUGCAAACAAAGAAGGGGACAUCAGGUGUAUUCUUCAAAAUAAUAUGCCUGGACAUGAAACGCGUUUUGAACCGCAUAGGAACAUGCUUUGUCACCUUUUGUGGCUGGUGAAUCAGGGCAGCCUUGCAAAUAAAGCCAUGGUUCUGCAGGAAAUAAUAGACCUUAUAAAGGAGUCAGGGAUUAACUAUAGCAGCGAAUGGCUGUCAGUUUUAGCGGACAUGGUGCCGCAUCACGCCACCCUGCAACGUAUAGCGUUUCAUAUCAAGGAUCGUUUUGAUAACAAAAAUUCUCCUAAUUAUAAAGAAGUCAUCAAAAUAACUGACAGUACAGUGCACGCCGCCGUUUCUCUGCUUCCUCUUAUCCCUCCAUGUACAGUUAUGAUAACAUUAGAGAGGUCUUCAGAUGUUAACUUACGGGACGCCAUUGCUCGGCACAAACUCGUGCAUCUGUGGCACGACUUCGUUCAUCCCACCACCGGUGCUACUUCCAACAGCCUGUUGCACCAGUUAAAACCUAUGAAUAACCUGGAGAAUUUCAAAGGGAACCUGGAUGCUGAACACCUUGCACUGCUACCCAAAUGCUUGAAAGAACUGUCCUUGGUUAUUGCUGGGAAUGAUCACAGCCGUAAUCUUCUGCCAACUCUCUCGGAAGUCCGACAGUCUUUUACUAAGUUGUCCAUCCUUAGAAUCCACGUCCCUGUAAAGAGAGUAACGCCAGAGGCGAUCACUCAUCCAUUGCCUGAUGUUCCAAAGGUUCAUCUAAUCUUGUCUGGCGUCGGCGAGCUGGAAGUCAAAGUAGCUUGUAGUAUUGCAGAGACCUUGUGCCCAAGGAAGAAAGAGCAGCGAUGAGUGACGCAAGAGACUGAGUGUGCGGGAUGGGCCAGCCGGACGUACGUGUAGAGGGGUCGCGUACCUGUACUGAACGUGACGGGGACAGGAAUCGCAGGACAGCCAGGGUUAUCAGCUCUGAUUUUGGAAUCUGGACAGCAAGAUUUCGUUUGUGGUUGUGGAGUUUCUGCAUGAGGGAGCUGUUGAAGUUGUUCAUUAGUCAUGGAUAAUGAUGAAAAGAUGAGUUUUCACCAAAAUGGUGCUGAUGGUGCAUGGUCUUGGGUUUAAGGACUAAAUAACUCAGAAUUGUCUCUUAAGAAGGUCUGACAAUUAAGUAAUAAGUAUUUUUUUUUUUAAGUAAAAUUCCUGUUUUUGUAUGUGCAUAAUUGACAUUGACAAUCUGCUGAUCAUACAAUUUCAGGGUGUAUAUUGGUACUGGCCUCCAAAGGAGGGUGCUUCAUUCAGGGAUAAGAGGGAAGAAAUGCCUGAUAAAGAAAAAUGGAGUUUAUAUGAAACCAGAAUAUUCAUUUGCAGAUAUGACAGUUGUAGAUCAUGUAUUCUUAAUAUCUGAGUCAUAACAUACAUGUAAUGGCCAGUAAAAAAAUAUACAUUUUGAUCAUUGUCCAGAUAUAUAAGUUAUUCACCUUUAUCACUGCUAUCAACACUUUCCUUACAGAAAGAUUUGAUGCAUCUUCCAGAGACAGCUUUCCAUACUGCCCCACCAACAAAAAUAUAUCACUAAACAAGACACUGUAAAGAACUACAUGUCAGGUAUUUUAAAACUGCAUGAUACAUAAAUUAGGUUAAUCUCUUUAUGAUUCCACCGUGAUAUAUUUCCAGUCACCUCAUCUGCAUGAAAUAUAUUUACUUAUUUACAGUAUCCACUCCAAAAGACCCACAAAGGUCAAAGAGAAAACACCUAUUGAACAAAAGAGUAUCUUUGGUUUGACCUGCUGAUAAAGCUUUAUCUUCAGGAUCUGCAGAUUCAGGUCUAAAAGAAUGUGUAGUUGUGCCAUAGACAGAGGCUGCAGAUAUGUGGUACAGAGCUACUGUGUUGGCACACCUCAAAACACUGGAAAAAAAUCAGCAGCUAAUGGCAAACCUACUGCAGUCUGUAUGUAGCUUGUGCUAUAGGAUCAGGAGGGGAUGAUGUGGAAGAUGUGUUGCCAGCUCCAGUAUGCAGUUUAGAGGAGCUGGAUGACCUGUCCACAAAACUGGCUGAUGAAACAUUCAAAAGUGAAUUGGAACCGGAGCCUGAGAGACAUAAGUCUUUAGUGGCUAGUGUCAUGUUAUUGGCCGAGUUUACCUUGAAUGGGAUCACGUUUUCUUAGUGUCCCCGUGUUCCGGUUACCUGCCAUUCGGGCAUUAUCCUUAUUAUUGUUAUAAGUAGUGUAAGGCUUAUUUACCCAUUUUAUAUCAUGUAGUAUUAUUCUCUUCAUAAUUUAAGUUCUCUAUAUCUUUGUAUGUAUAAGGAAGGAAGUAUAAUUGAGGUGAAAUACGUUGAAAACGAGGGGAGCUUGAGUGGGCAACAACACAUUCCAAGGAGGGGAAAAGGCAGAACGCCUUGGGUCGUGAAGUAGGGAGGAAGGUGGCGUUUCUCAGGGGAGGAUUUUGGUGUGGAUUGGUGAUGGAGUGAGUUUGUGGAGGUAUUAGUGGUGUAGCGGUAUAACCUUGAUAUCCAGGAUCAGGUCAGUGAGUCUUUUGUGGUACCAAGAGCUCUUGUCCGCUGAAAUUCGGUUGUUGAGUUGUGCCGGUGACGCUGUUGGGAGGGGGUCAUAGGUCAAACUGGCAGCCAUUUUGUAAGUGGAGGUUGUGGUGUUAACCUUGGAAGUUGGUGUUGUGGUGUAUUGGUGAUUUUGGGGACGAUGUUAUGGUGUUAUGGGUAAUCUUUGGUGAUAAUGGUAAUCUCUUGUGAGGCUUGAGGAGGUGAAAUGCGGGAAUUAUUGUCUGGGGACGCGGAAAUGGCGUCCGGGUAAAUUCCUGCGGUUGAGGGGAAAUAUUUCUGUGACUGGUGGAGGUGUAAACGGGUUCUUGUGACGUGGGAAGUGACGAGAACGUUAUGUAGUAACGUGUGCUACCUCAUGUUGUUUGUGAAUUAUUAUUAGUAUUAAUAUAUGUGCUUGUAACAUAGAAUAAUCGUGUUUUCUACUCCCCCAACAACAAUCUGGUAUUAGAGGUAAUUCCAGGUGUGCUGAGUCAAGGUAAAGGUGGAGUAAGAGAUAAUUCUGACGAUUUCGGAUAGGUCGGGUAGGCACUCGAAGCCUUUAAAAAUCCAGACCUUUAAAACUUUCCGGGAUCAGUGUAACGUCCACUUUCUUGGAGAGAUAACCGGGAUCGUACGAUCGCAGGUAAGUAAGUAGGCGAUCGUGACACUAGUCAUCAGGUUCUGAUGACUAGCCACAGUUGAAAUAAGGGCAGAUGCCUAGGUGUACAGUGCCCUGGGGGGGGCCCUACAGUAUAAGGCAUUCCACUUGCACACUCUUGUCCUUAUCCUUUCAGCUCUGUCUCCCACAUGACCAUAAUUUCCUACCUGCUGCUAAUCAAUGUGGUAAAUGUGGGUGAGCAAGGAAGCCAGUGCCAAUUCUACCUCACUCCAAAGUGUCAUUGAUUCCUCUCUUAUCUUGUACUAACUGAAAUUUAUAUUCUUUUUAAAAUUUAUUAUAUAUAUUUUUUUUUAUUUAUUUUAUUUCUCCUCUGCUAUCAAAACAGGCCUAAGAGAUCAUUCUUUAUUUACCAUGCACUAUAAGACUCUCUCUCUCUCUCUCUCUCUCUCUCUCUCUCUCUCUCUCUCUCUCUCUCUCUCUCUCUCUCUCUCUCUCUCUCUCUCUUUUAUUUACACAAAUCAAUACAUAGUUAAAGUGUGUGUUACAAAAUAUUUUUACAUAUAAUGUAGCACUUUACAGGCUAAAGGGAACAUUUUUAGUGUUUCCUAUCUAAAAGCCUAACUCUAAAUGUUACAAACAAUUGUUACUCUGGUGCAUAUGGCAACCAGACGUUCACACAUUCCUUGAAUUGCUGCAGAUUCAUUUUACUGAAGUCUAUCUGUGCAGCAAUUAAGGUGUUCCAUAGUUUACCGUAAUGAUGGACGUACUGGGGUUGAUGGUGCCAAGUACGGCAUCGACACUGAAAUAAUUCAGCAGGCAUUAAAGUGACAGCCCGGGUGAUCACUUGUGCCCGCCGCAGGGGCUGGCGGAGAGCUUGGAGAUGCGGGAUUCGCUGUUGCUGUAUUUUAGUACAUCACAGCGAGGCCCGCUACGUCCCUGCGAUGUUGAAGGGAGUGGAGCUUUGGCUCAUUUCUGGCCCCACUGUACUUUCUGAGCCUCACUGCCCGAGCCUGUACCCUGUCCAGGAGGGAAAGAUGCCUGCUCGCCGCUCCUCCCCAAGCAAGACACGAGUACUCCAGGGAGGAACGAACUUGAGCCUCGUACAAGAUCUCCAGGCCUUUGUCGUCAAGGAGCCACGACAUCCUCCUGAGUGACGCCAGCUUACCCGAGGCCUCCCUGGCUAGACGCUCUAUGUGGUGCCUGAAGGUCAGCGCGGAGUCAUACGUGACCCCCAGUACAUCCAUCUCGUCUUGCCGCCGUAUAGCUUGCCCCUCAAGGCUGAAUUGGAGGGGCGUCCUCGACCUUGAGAUGAUUGACAUUUGUGUUUUGUUUGGGGCAAAAUUUACUUGCCACUUGCUGCCCCACGACACAAUGCGGUUCAGGGUGAUUUCAUGUGGUCGGCCGUGGCAGUCUCCUCCCCUGAGCUGUAGCUCUGAGACAGCGUGAGGUAAUCAGCACAAGCUCUUACACUGGGGAUUAAAUGCAGGAGGUCGUUUAUGUAGAUGUUCCAGAGAAGGGGGCCGAGACAGCUUCCCUGAGGAACACCUGCUCUUACUGCAUGCUGUUCAGACUCCUGGCCAUCAAUGACCACUUUGAGAUUCCUCUCUCUCAAGUAAUCACCAAACAGCAAUAAGAGGAGCCCAUCCACACCUGCUGCACGGAGCUUUGCAAGGAGACCUGCAUGCCACAACUUAUCAAAGGCCCUUUCGAUGUCAAGGGCAACAACUGCAGUGGCCUUCCCUGCGUCCAGAGCAGCACUCCACUCCGAGGUGAGCAGCAGGUGCAGAUCAGCGGCCGAUCUGCCCGGCCUGAACCCAAACUACUGGCCACACAGUAGGUGGUGCUUCUCAAGGUGCUCUGUGACUCUUGAGGCCACUAUGGACUCGAGCACCUUGCUGAGCACAGACAGCAGGGACACCGGACGAUAGUUUUUAGCCACUGUUUUUUUUUUUUUUUUUCUUGUGUACUGGCACAACACUAGCCACUUUCCAGAUACUUGGCCACCUGCUGGUCCGUAAGCACUGGUUGAAUAUCGUAGAGAGUGGGGGAGCCAGCUCAUCAGCACACUGGCGAAGAAGGCGUGGGCUAACGUUAUCAGGACCCACUGCUUUUGUCACGUCAAGUUUUGAAAGCACUGCCUUCACUUCCACUUCACUCGUUGUGGCAAAUGAUAAUUUUUCUUUCACUAUGUUUGGUAGUGAGGGUGAAGGUCUUUUAGGGUCGGAGACGUACAACUUAUCAGUGAAGUGCUUGGCCAGGAGGUUUGCUUUAUCGGCAGACUGCGCUAUUGUGCCGUCGUCCCGGUGGAGGGGAGGAAUGGUGUUCCCCCUAGACACACCUUGUUGCUCCUUAACAAGACUCCACCAGCGUUUGGACCCCACCUGGCCUCUCCGCAGCUUCCUCUUGAGAAUUGGUUAGAAGCCCAGUCUUAAGUAGCCCUCGUGGUCGGUUGCCUCCCUGUGUCGCUGUCUGUUCCAGGCUGUGGGAUGCCUCUUAAAGGCGAGCCAGGCAUGGUACUUUGCGUCGGAGGCAGCUCGACAUUCUGGCGAAAACCAGGGUUGUUCUGAUGCCUUGGUUUGGUGUGUGGAGUGGGGCACCCAGCGGUCCUGCAGGGUGUGAAGCAGCUCGGUGAACUGCCCCACCUGCUGGUCAGUGUCUCCACAUAACACAUCAUCCCAGUCAGUAGUUUUGAGGGAAGCUCGCACAGCCUGCCAAUUUGCCUUCUCCCACCUCCACAGUGUUCGAGUGUAGCACUCCUCACGCGGCCUCUUGAAACUGAUCCUUGUGAGGACUGCCACAUGGUCCGAAGUGUCCACAAAGUCUAGGGAAGAACACUGUAUGGUAUCGGCGGGAAGGUCGGUCACGACUGGAUCGAGGGAUGAUCCAGAGCGGUGGGUGGGAAAGGUGACAUAGUUGUGCAAGUCGUGCACAACCAUGAGUGUGUUAAAUGCUUCGCGCACUGUGUUUUGGUUUAAGUCACCAAUAAUUAUCACAUUUUCACA